UACGUAGGGGGCAAGCGUUGUCCGGAAUCACUGGGCGUAAAGAGCACGUAGGCGGUAUGUUAAGUUAGGUGUGAAAGUUUGCAGCUUAACUGUAAAAGUGCAUCUAAAACUGGCAUACUUGAGUCUCGGAGAGGUAAGCGGAAUUCCUAGUGUAGCGGUGAAAUGCGUAGAGAUUAGGAAGAACACCGGUGGCGAAGGCGGCUUACUGGACGAGUACUGACGCUCAGGUGCGAAAGCGUGGGGAGCAAACAGG
Molecule: ribosomal RNA, 253 nt
Filed under: uncultured bacterium
Lineage: Bacteria
Description: partial 16S ribosomal RNA
Rfam family: Bacterial small subunit ribosomal RNA
Source: RNAcentral